Long non-coding RNA from Zingiber officinale, 444 nucleotides. RefSeq lists it as uncharacterized. Lineage: Eukaryota; Viridiplantae; Streptophyta; Magnoliopsida; Zingiberales; Zingiberaceae. The transcript has 3 exons. The record is from RefSeq and is a predicted model, not a curated record.
CUUUCCUUUUAUCUCUGCAGCAUCAAGGUUUCUUUCCUUUCCGCAACACCGUAUUCUUUCCUUUCCUCUCUGCAGCAGCAAGGUUUCUUCUCUCUAUAGCAAGCAAUUAAGGAGGAGCUCCUAGUGCUGCCUUGCCAGGAGACGAGAUGCCCCUUCAUGCGCAGCCGCAUGUGAGGGGGCUGCUACCUAGCCAGGUCGUCGGUUGGCGAACGACCAGUUCACGAACGACCACACGUGAGAGGGGCAAUGCUUUCACAAUUGACCACAAACCAGGAGACAACUGUCUCACUAGGUUGAGGCUGUCCGGAGGAUUUCGAGUCACUAGUCCCCCCUUCAGAUUGCAAGGAUGUUGUUUGGUCUUUUGGUUUUCUUAUUAUACUAUCCAGACUAUGUUUUAGACUUGUUCUGGUUUUGCUCUAUGGAUAUUGUAUGAUUUUUCCUUUA